This is a long non-coding RNA of Anguilla rostrata (American eel), 5952 nucleotides long. RefSeq lists it as uncharacterized. The transcript has 2 exons. The record is from RefSeq and is a predicted model, not a curated record. Lineage: Eukaryota; Metazoa; Chordata; Actinopteri; Anguilliformes; Anguillidae.
UUAACUGGACUGCAGGGCCCACUGGUUUCAUUACUUGUGAGAUCCAGGACUCAUUAGCAGCCGACGACUGCAGGCCGAACUGGGUUCACGGCACAUUCUGUCCGUUUAACGACGGUCAACGAGUGAGAGUGAAAGGGGCUCGGUGUACAUGUCCGACGUUCCGUUGCGUAAACUUCUGAACGGUGUUGCCUGGAACCCGCCAAAAUUAGACAACGGCAUUCCGGUGUUCUUGGAAACCCAUGGAUGACUCAUGAGCCACUGCCGAACGCACUCUAAUCAGGCUGUGUGUGGACCGCGGAGAGGCUCUGCUUUUCAGUCCCAACCCCCAGAGCUGCUUUGACGGGGGUUGUUGUCUCUUUUCACUGGAGAAAAAAUAAAAAUAGAAAAGAAUAAAUAAAACAUGAACGCAGAUACCAGCGGCUGCCCUCUUCGGAUGUCUUCGUGGGUUUUUCCUCACACCUUGUUCCUCUGUAGUCACCAGCCCACGCACACCUGACUCUGUGGUUUUAAAAAAAAAAAUUAUUUGUGAUGAUAGGAUUCUGCCUCUAUAUUCAUAUAUUGAGUUUAAGAAAAGAUGAGCUUUAUUUAGCCCUGUGGGAGUAAUUUGUCCUCCGCGUUUCGCCCGUCCUGGUUACUUAAGAGCAGUGGGAGCCCGCCAUGCGGCACUUAGGGCUGGUGAAGAGGCCCGUGCCGUAGUCAAGGGCGAUGGCGUAAGGGGCGACAUAGCUCAGGAGGUAAGAGCGGUUGUCUGGCAGUCGGUGGGUUGCCUGUUCGAUCCCAGCCCUGGGCGUGUCGAAGUGUCCCUGAGCAAGACACCUAACCCCUAACUGCUCUGGUGAAUGAGAGGCAUCAAUUGUAAAGCACUUUGGAUAAAAGCGCUAUAUAAAUGCAGUCCAUUUACCAUUUGAUGGCAGGUGCAAACGUAACCUGACAUGCACGUCUUUUGGUAUAUAACAUAUAUAUAUAUAUAUGUAUGUUUUGAUGAACGAUUUGGAUUCCUGGUCUUGUGUAAUGUAGGAAAAUAACACACUGGAGCUGAUCCGGAAGAAGGCAUGUCAUGAUAGCAAGUGCAACUGAAAAAUCGCAAAUAGCAAUAAAGUAAAAUGUAUUGCAUAUACUGGAUAUAUAAUUAACCGUGGAAUGAAUUUCUCAUCACUGCUACUAUUAACAAGCCAAGUGUUUUAGCCCGGAGUUUCGCUUUAACGUUAGCAGCAGCUGUUUUUUUUAUGUUUGGAGUCCUGAAGAGCUAGCAGUGGCUGACCUCCUUUCCUCGAAGGAUGCUUUCAUGUUGACAGGAGAGGUAACGAGCUGUAGGCACAGCCUGUCGUCCGCCUCUCAAACUGUCCUGCUCGGCUCUUUGUGUCGCUGUCAUCAGACGCCUGCCAAUCAAAGUGAAGGAUGCGAGGCCAGGUUUGAUUCAGCUGCCAGUUAGACUUGAGAUAUGGGCUGCUGGGUGGCUCAUCCGGUUAAGGCAGGGGUGCACAACUCCGGUCCUGGAGGGCCGAUCUGCAUGCUGGUUAUUGUUCCAACCGAUUACCAUAGAUAUAGUUUUCUAGACAGCUCUAUACACUAGGCUGGCUCACUCCUGCGCUUCAGCUCAGUAAAAUCUCUCGGCUGUGGCUGGUGCUUAUACACCUGUCAAGAUAUGAUUGGAGAUAUGACUUAAAUAAAUGUUGGCAAACGUUCACACAAAAUCCUGAAAUGGAUUGGCCCUGGUUCUGCACCCGAGUUAAGGCACCACACUGUGGCACAUGGAUGAGCCUCACAGCUUUGGAUCGGGUCUGGGCCGUGUCUGGGCCGACUAUGGUUGGUCGCCCUGUAGGGAAUGCGUCAUCCAGGGUAUGGGAGGGUUCAGUCAGUUGGGGAUCCGUGUUCAUCGCUCUCUAGCGACCCCUGCUGGUCAAUCGGUCACCUGUGGACUGCAUGUUAAAGCUGCGUAUGAAAGGGUCUUCCUCUGACUCCGCUCUGUGUGAGCUUAGCUGUGUGUCUGCGGUGUGAAAAGAAGCAUCUGUGUGACACCACGCGUCUCGGUGGAGAACCGAGGAUUUUCUACCCUCCCUCUCUGGAAUCGGAAGUGUGUUGGGGACCUGGAGCUGCUCAGCCCCAUGCUGAUCACCAAAUUUAUUAUUUUAAUUUUAAAAAAUUUUAAAGACUUCAGAGUUUUUCAGUUUCAGUUUCAGGUUCAAAGCCAACUCUUUUCACUCUAAAUUCUCCCUCAAAUCUUUGUUUGAUAUGCUCCAACUGCGGUGGUGGCGGUACCAACAACUCUCAAAAUAAAUGAAUACCCUCAGUGAGGGAGUCUAUGAAAUCGGAGAAAAGGAGCCUCACAGUAGAGUGCUGUUUGAAUUGAGCGCCGUGACUUUAAGGGCAUGAGGACAGGGGGGUGUGAACAGGGACAGACAGGGUGGCCUGGCCUGGUGUUUCUAAGAAGCGACGGGCGUCAGUUGGCCUGAGGUCUCGAAGAGAAUGAAACGGAACGACAGGGCCGAUGUCUGCGGGACGUCCGCUGGACAGAUGCGUAGUGACAGCCUGGUCGGUGUUGACAGUGGCGUCCGGCCCUGCGUCGGGUUUGGCGAAUGGCGUCUGUGCGUGUUUGAGGGCAUUUAGACUGCGGAGUUUCAGCAGUGGGGCUAGCUACCUAGCAUUGUUCGCUUGUAGUGUCGUCAUAGUUACUGGAGUGUUUGGAAAAUCACUUCAAGUACACUGAAAACUCCAGAUUAAACCAGCCUAAACUGGUCAAGAUGGUUUAAGCUGUGUUUUUGACAGUUUUGGCUGGCCACUAGCCGACCAACCUAGAUAGUCAGCUAGUCCACCAGUUUGACCACCAGUUUACUCUAGCAGCUUUGUCCUGCCACAGACCAGCUAUGACCCACUAGCAGUGAAGUGUCGAAAACACCUCUUAAAUGCCAGUUUGCAAUCCCAGCUCGUCUUAGCUGGAAUUUUCAGCGGGGUUUUGAGCACAGUUAAUUUGUGUUUUGUCUCUCGGGCCGGACGUGCAUCUCAUUUUGUUGUUUAACAGACUAAACGCAGGCCGAUCAUAUCUGAUCAUAUUAGACUUUAGCUGGGUUAUUGAGCUUGUGAGCUGUAUUGCUAAUACACUUUAGGCACUGUUGCAUGGAGUAUAGACUAUUGGAACAGGGUUCCCCAGCCCUGGUCCUGGGGAGCCACAGGAUCUCUUAGUUUUUGUUUUCACGUCAAGGUCGGCACCCAAUUCCAACCCAAGAGACCGAGGGAGGGGGGCUUUACUGUGCAAUCAACUGCUCUUUUUCCCCCGCACUGUAUUCUUUAACAGUAAUCAAAUUUGGAUAGUAUUUUGAGGUUUAAUUAAUCAGUGGGGAAGUGUGUGUUCAGUUUUUUUAAAUUAGUUUUUUAUUUUAAUGCUCACGAUUUUUCAUCAGCGAUGACCGGUUUUUAUCGGAUGUAACAGCACGUGCUACUGUACCUCCCCAUUUCAUGUCCUGUUCAGUUGCGUGGUUGCAUUCUGUGAUACUGAUGUGCACAUCUCAGGGGUUAUAUUGCAUGUAGAUAGAUAUGCCGCUUCGGUACAUGUGGAUGAGCAUGCACAAUGGACAUCCAUAAAUAUAGAUUCCGAUGCAGUGCGUACAUCGCGUGAAUAUAGAUGCAGCUGGACACACUACAUCUAUAAACGCAUGCCGAUUUUGAACGGUGCUCGAGACGGUCCAUUCUUGCUCUGAGAGGGGUAUUUUAGGCAGCCUAAAGUUAUUAAAUAGGACUGUGAUGGAAAAAAGCUUUUUACAGCCAUUCAGUUAACAACCUUCCAGUCAUAAAAAUCCAUUUUUAUGUUUCAAGGUCGACAAAGGAAAACCGAAAAUGAAGACUCCGUACCGCAGAGCGCUAAGUGACGGGGACGUUGCCUGAUAUUUCCUGUAAUGCCCAUUCAUUUUUUACCCAGGUUCUGUCUGUUCGUCUCUCCUUUGUUAUUUCCCGAAACCGGUCUCUUGAGUGACCCCCCUUCUCUGGAUUAUUAGUAGAAUGAUAAUUGCAUGUAUUACCGAGAAGAGCUCUCUAAAUAUGGGCCAAAGAUAGGUGGCUUUUCAGAAUCUGAGUAGCCCAUUCCCGUUGUCUAAACGCAAAAUGCUAAAUGCUAUUGGGGCUCAUUAGAAUGGCAAAAUAAAUGCACCUGGAGAACAUGGUGUUAUCGAAGUGCUGCGUGUUGGGAAGUGGCUGCCAUUAAUCAAAACGAGAGGUAAAUUUUGGGCAAACGGUGAAAUGUGAAUCAGAAUUGGGGCCAAAAAGUGAGUCUCGAGUUCUGAAGAUAUGAAAUGUCUGACUAAUUUUUUGUUGUUGUUGUUGUUGUUGUUGUUGUUGUUGUUGUUGUUGUUGUUGUAGCACACAACAAGUGGCUCUGCUUUCACAAAUACUAUUGCAGUAUUCCUGUCUCCUGUGGCUCCUCUUGCGAUGGCAUUGUUACAAAUUUAAUUUAACAAUUCAGUUUUUACUGACUAAAAAUGCAGCAGAAUGAUUCCUCGCGUUGUACAGUUGACGAUAAGCAGCUCACCGAAGAAAGAAUGAACGGUUCCCUUUUUCGUUUGUCGCGGCGUGUGCGGUUCAGGCUGCUUUUGGGCAAGCUAGCGGAAGACCCUCCGCUGCAGCUGUGGGGAACAGGGUCAUUACAACUGAACAGGAGGCCAAGCGGGGACGUGAGAAUUACAGGCUUCUCAGUGACGCUGCUGCUGAAAGUACAAAUGAAUGCUAUAUUUAUCGUCCUUUCCAUGUGUGUGCUGUUAAGCAAAAUGUUAAAAAAAAUACGUUUAAAAAAAACCUUGGUGUAAUUCCAGUUUAUGGCAAGUUCUAAGUGAUAAAAGCCAGUUAACUGACAAGAACGUUGAAGCUCAGUAUCUCAGAACUGUAGAAAUGGCGGAUGGAAACCUGUAAUUUUCAGAUUUUGAAAAGGGACACAACAUGUAUGUCGAGUUAAAUUAUCUGUUUUGUUUGUCAGAAGGACCACCGGUAAUUUAAGGAGCGUGUGUCAAGAGCGGGUCCUGAAAAGUAAUGACUGCCUCAGUGAUGAUUCAUUUUAUGUGCAUGGGCGGCAUAAAAUGUUGUGCGUGCGCGUGUGUGUGUGUGUGUGUGUGUGUGUGUGUGUGUGUGUAUGCGCGUGCGCGUGUAUGUGCUUGUGUGUGUUAUAGUGUUUCCUUAGAAACAUUUCUCUUGUGUUACCCUCUGUACAGUGAACACUGUAGACUUACAGCUGUCAGCGCUUUUACUUUAUUAAUUUAUUUAUUUUAGUUUUUUUUUUUUUUUUUUUUUACAAACUCUUAAGCUGUGCACUUUGUUUUUUGUUUUUUUUCUAAUUAUGUUCACCAUGUGUAUUGAUUAUGUGUUCUGUGUUUCCUGUUGCAAAAUGUGAAUAGGCUGACUAUACAUAGAUAUCAGUUCAAGGUGACCUCUGCAGAUCUGUAUCCAGUUUAUCUCAAAGGUUAGUUUAAAUUAAUUUAGCCAUGCCAUAAUGUUCACUGUAAAAAGGCUUGACAUUAGCUUUAAAAAUGACCAUAUUAGCCAAAAAGCACAAUACUCAGCAAGAGGAAUGUUUCCAAGGAAACGGAUGAUGGUAGUUUUAGUGUGUCUUGCGCCCUGUACAUAUAAAUAUCUUAUCUGUCAGAAAUGAUAUUGUAUUUAAAUAUGAUUACAUAGCUAAGAGGAAUCAUUUACGCAUACCUGAUUGGGUGUAACUUUUUUCAGAGCCUGCUGUUAAUGUGCUGUUAAUGUAGUUAAGUGCUCAUGAAACCUUUCCUUUUUAAUGGCUUGCUACAGUGCUCCCAGAAUGCAGAUUAAAAUGUUUCCCCAAACGAUUUUGUCCACUUGCCACAAGACCAAUUGACAUAAGGCCGUAUUGCAACCACUUUUCUACCGAUAACAGAUCGGUCGUACUCAUAGAAUUACUGACGUCAACAAAAAAAAAAACCCCCAAAAAAACCUUUGUUUCUGCCA